Entelurus aequoreus (snake pipefish) is the source of this 1578-nucleotide long non-coding RNA. RefSeq lists it as uncharacterized. NCBI's taxonomy places the organism in Eukaryota, Metazoa, Chordata, Actinopteri, Syngnathiformes, Syngnathidae. The record is from RefSeq and is a predicted model, not a curated record. The transcript has 4 exons.
CACUUGUUUACACACAAGACAGGUUUACGUGUUUCAGCGCUCCAAGUUUGUUGUUUCUUCCCACAAAGUGCCUUGGAAACAUUGUCUGCUACGUUCACACUGCAUGGUCAGAGGUCCAAAAAGCAGGAAGUGUCACGUCGCAUUCGCAGUCCCGCAUGUCUUCUGCUGCAAGCUCUGCCGAUGCCUCCGCUGGCAGCGCGCCAGGACACGCCACUGCUCGCUCUGGCCGCAUCGCGGCCACACACCGGCAAGGGUGCAGGCCAUCAGCAAUCCGCGCACCUGGGACUGAUGAAGGCGAGCAGUAUAAAGACCAGCGGACCCGAAGAUCCUGGGCCGGAACGUAGUUAACUCCUCGUAUACUUCCCGUGUCUCCCGUGAUUGAGCAGUGUGCCUCGACUCCCCUUUGGACUUUGGACUGCCUCCCUCGAUCUUCAACCCCUGCUUGGACACGGACCCUUUUGACGCCUGGCUAUACCCCCCGAAAACCUGCCUGUCUCACGGACACUCGAGCCUGCCUUUCCCCUUCGGGACUUCCGCCUCUCUCGCUCAACACUCCCGAAAGUGGAACAAAAAUAAGAGCGCCGACAGGAAACAAACACCAAACAAGCAACCACCACCAGAAGUGACGUGACAGAUCGUCACAGAACUGAACCAGAGCCAUUCCGGCCCGGAUUUAGCCUCUGGCUGCCAGUUAAAAAGCCCUGCUGUAAUGCUAAAAUGUAUGACAACAUCAAGAACGUUUUCCAGAGGACUGGGCACGGUAAUACAUCGAAGAUUAUAGAAAUUAUUGAUCAUUUUUAAAAAUCUGGAUUUAUUGAGUACCCUGUAACAACCUCCAUGUAUUUUCUAUUUCUUGUUGAACUUAUAUACCAGCACAUCUCAACUUUAAUGAAGCGAAUGCAGUUCCUGCUUCCGUUCCGUCCUUUUGGGGCUUAUUGUUAUGUUUUGACACAUUGCAUCAUAUCUUUUGCAGCCUUGCUUGUUCCUGUUUCAUUAUCUUUUCUGCCUUAACUUGUGCGCUUGCUUCCCUGGACUCUGCCUCCUCAAUUAGUAAUGAUAAUUAUGAAUUAAACCUUAUUUGAGUUUUUCCUGCCUGCAUCUCAUGCUGCGACAUCACCAAUAUAAUUGACAAUUAAGGUGAAUCUCUGCUCGAUGAGCUGAACACCAUUAUUACUGAUGAAACUUCUGGAAAAGCUUUGAGAGCGUUAAUUACGAUUUGUAAUCUAGUAUCUUAAUUAUGUUCAUUAACAGAGCAAAAACUCUUUAACAAAGUGCUAAAGUAAACGUUUUACUUUUUCUAAUGUCAGAUUCAUUGGACUAGUUGAUGCAGUAUGGAUGUAUAGAACAGAGGAGUAUUAAUAUAUUAGUAGGAUUUGAAUAUAAGAUGCAGUUUAAAUCCAUAAAUGUACAUACAUUGACCUACUUGCCAUCAUCACUGUAUGUUUUAUGUUUAGUUAUAGCUGAAUAGCUAAUUUACCCACCCGGUUUGCCCCGGCGUGCAUUAAUCAGACUCAGUUCAGUGAAAUUAUACCUCUACUGUAAAUCAUCAGCUCAAAACAGUCAUUAUCUAAGAUGAUU